AGAAGGUGCUUAUGCACUAAGACGUGUGUUCGAUGAGAAAAUGCUCAAAGCUGGAGCUGAAAGUUUGGCUGAGGAAGCAAAAAUUUUGGCUGUAGCUUUUCUUGAAGAAGAGAUAAUGGAUAACUAAAUUUGCAUCCUUAGUCCAUUAGCAUCCUUUCUGAAUGCAGAAAUGUUGCAGUUUUAAAGGAAAAGUAACGUAAGACACCGACUAGUAAACUACGAUAUAAAAUUGCAACAUUUUUGUUUCAAGAAAUCCAUAGACAAUAUAAAAUACAGUAAAGCUUAAGCUACGUGAUUUAUUCCAAAAUGGCUAAGCUUAUAAAUUAUAUAAUGUUCGUAUGAUAAAUGUUUAUAAUGUUAAGAUUAAGUGAUACAAACCUCACGCAGUAACGGAUUUAUGUACGGUCGCUUGCUUUUCAAAGGCGUCUGCCAAUCAAGCUAGUUGUGGAUGAGAAGCAAGAGUUCCUGGGAAGUCUUUUAGGUCAUACAAAGCUCAUAGGUACUUGUACGAUUUGGAAUAUAAUCCAGUUGCAAAUAUACAAAGGACCAACCUUACUUACUACACAAGGAUUUAAACAUUUGAUGAAGUUUGAGUUGAUGGAUAGUGCAUCAACUGAAGGUGUACUUAAAGCGAUUGAGCUGUUGCCUAUGACAACUACAAUAUCUCUCCGGAGAUAAGAUUAAUGGCCGGAAUGAUUUGUGUAGGCAAUUCAGUUUACUAUUGUGACGAUCCGACCCGUUGUCUUUUGUAUUUCAGCCCCGUUAUCCCCGUAAUAUGCUUCCUCGUAUGUUGAUAUAUGUGUUUGGUGUGUUUGAGACGUGUUGGAUUGAAUUUGGUUAGAAAUGAGACCAAUAGCCCCUUUAAGGAAAGCAUAAGUUGGAAAAGUCAACCAGACGUUGACUUGUGAGUUGGAGGGCUCGGAAUGGAUUUCCGAUGAUUCGACUAGUUUUGAAUGGUGAUUUAUGACUUGGGAGCAAAAUCGGAAUUUAAUUUGGACGUCUAGUGUAGAAUUAGGCUUGAAUUGGCUAAGUUUGAAUUUUAGCAAAUUCCGGUUAAUAGGUGGGAUUUUGAUUCGGGGGCCGGAAUGGAAUUCCGGGAGUUGCAAUAGCUUCGUUAGGUGAUUUUGGAUAUGUCUGCAAAUUUUCAGGUCAUUCGGACAUCCCUUGGUUGGGUUUUGGGUCAAAUGCGAAUUUGAAAAAGUUCUAGUUUGACUUGGGCUUUAAUUUGAGGAAUUUGAUGAUUUUUGACGUUAAUGUUGGUGUUUUUAUGGCCCGAGCAAGUUUGCAUGAAGUAUUAAGUCGUGUUGGUGCUUUUGGUUGAGGUCCCGGGGGCCUCGGGGCCCCCAGGGUGAUUUCGGAUGGAUAACGGAAGGAUUUUUUGUUUUGAAAGAUGGCAGAUUUUCAGCUGUUGGUGUUGCAGACCACAAAGCAUCGCGUUCGCAUGGGUGUGGACGCGAACGCGUAGAAGGAAUCUGGGAGCCUGGGAUUCUUGCCUUCGCGUUCGCAAAGGGGAGACCACAAUCGCGUAGUAGAGAAGUUGUUCUUGAUCGCGUUCGCGUAAGCCAGGGGGUGUGGGCCAUCGUGUUCGCGUUGAGAGGGUCGCAUUCGUGUUAGAGGGCCUGUGAUCGUGGUCAGGUAAAGCAUCGCGUUCGCAUGGCCAGGGUCCCGAACGCGAUGAAGGAGUUUUCUGGGCAGUAAGGUUUUUUUUUAUAAACAUUUCAUCCGCGAACUAUUUCAUAUUUUCUCCAUUUUUGCAAUACCUUGAGAGCUCAUUGGUGGAUUUUGAAGGGGAUUUCAACAGAAAGUGAUUGGAGGUAAGUCUCGCGGUCUUAAUUCGUCAUUUUAUUGAAGAAUCAACCAUUAAUUCUUUGAAAUUGGGUGUAAAAGUUGAUAAACUAGGGCUUGAAAUUUCAAAUGAAAAUUGGGGAUUUGGAGGAGUAAUUGAACUCCGAUUUUGAUGAAUUUUAUAUAUAUGGACUCAUGGCGAGAUAAGGAUUCUGAAAAUGUGAAUUUUGUAAUUUUUCAAGAAGUGGGCCGGGGCUUGAGUUUUGCCAACUUCGUGUUUUUGGGUGUAUUUCGAGUUAUUUCGAUUGGGUUAUGUUCCAUUAGCUGUUAUGACGUAUUCCUAUUGGUUUUGAUCUGAUUUGGCAUCCGCGAAGGUCGAUUCUCGAGGGAAAGGCUUUACGAGCUAGUUUGCGGCCGGCUUGAGGUGAGUAAUGGGGGUAGAUGAUGACCCGAGGGUUUGAAACCCCAAUAUAUCACAUUGUGACGCUAUUAUGAGGCUAGGCACGCACUUCAUGGCUAGUGGGGGGGUCGUAUAUGUUGCAAAUUAUGACUCACCCGGUAUAUCACAUUGUGACUCUAUUAUGAGGCUAGACACACACUCCAUGGCUAGUGCGGGGUCGUAUGAGUUGGAAAUUGUGACUCGAUCUAAUCCGAGGGAUGUAUUGCACUAUGUUGGCGAUUGCUUCGCGUAUUAUAUUGAUGAUAUUUGAGCCUGAUGCCAUGUUUGGGGCCUUGUGCCGAGUCGCAGGAUCCUUCAGGAAUCGUUAUCUCAGAAUUUUCAUGAUUUGCAUAUUAUUUGAAAUCAGUCCAGGUUUAAAUACUAUUUUUGCAAAUUCAGCCAUAUUUAUCCGUUUUGAAAACUCAAAUGAUUUUAAAUGAUAUUUCGGGCUGACGAGUACUAUCUCGCUAUUUUUGGACUGUAUAUUAUUUUAAUGGAAACGGUGGUAAGUAAGGACACCGCAUAUUUUAAAUGGAAAUGGUGGUAACUAAGAACACCGUGUAAUUUAAUGAAAAACGGUGGUAACUAAGGACACCAUGUAAUUUAAUUGAAAACGGUGGUAACUAAGGACACCGCGUAUUGUAAUGAAAACUGUCAUAAUAAAGGACACCAUGUAUUGUGAUGGAAACAGUGGUAACUAUUGGCACUGUAUGAUAUGACGUUUGGAUUGUAAGAGCCCCUCUGUAGUCUGAACCACCACGUGAGCGCGGGUACCCAUAUGGAUCGGGUUGCACGUUCCGCAGUGUUCAUGCAUUACAUUGCAUCUCAUGCAUUUAUUUACUGUUGCUUAUUCUGUAUAUCUCUGAGAUUGGUACUAUAUAGAACUGCUAGAUAGCUUCAUUUUUGUGUUAUUUCGCGUUUUCUUAUCUUCGGGUUUUUAUACAUGCUUAUCACUCGCUAAGUUGGUAGACCUAGUUCACCUUGUGUCCAGAUUCAGGUGCUCCAGAUACCUAGGCUGCAGCUGUUAAUUUUUCGGAGCUGUUCAGAGUAUUGAGGUAGCUGCCCAGCGUCCGCAGGACCACCUACUCUCUCUUUAUGAGUUGUUUCUUUUGCUAUUCUGUCAGACAUUUGUAUUACUUUCGUUCAGACCUGUAUCUUAUUUUAUUAGAGGCUUUGUACUCGUGACUCCUCGGUCUUUGGGAGAAUUAUUGUUCUUGCUCAGCUAUGUUUUCAGUGGUAUUAUCUAUCCCUGGUUGGGAGUUUCAUAUUAAAUUCAUUGUGUUAUCUUAAAUUGUUUCCUUUUGGCUGGAAUACUGUUCUUGGUUGUGGUUUGGUCGGGCUUGCCCAGCCUCGCGACAGGUGCCAUCACGACUGGGUUUGGGGUCGAGACAAGUUCGCGUCAGAGCCUAGGUUUACUAGGCCUCACGAGUUGUGAGCCGGAUUAGUAGAGUCUCGCGGAUCGGUACGUAGACAUCCGUAUCAUAUCCUCGACUGGCUACAGAGCUUAAAGGAAACACUUCACUUUCUUGGAAUUCUUAUCGUGCGGCUUUGUUGAUUUGAGAACUGAAAAUUCUUAUUCUAUUCUCUCACAGAUGGCGAGAACCCAUGCUACCGGACAUGGCGGUCGACCCCCAUUGCCACCAGGUAGAGGUCGUGGACGCGAUCGUGGCCGUGGUAGAGCAGCAGGGGCAGUACCAGUUGACCCACUUGUUGCUCCUGCUCAAGAUCAGCCCCAGUUGUUGAGGCUCCAGCAGCACCUACUCAGGCACCGGUAGUGCCCAUUGUGAUACCUGGUCUUCAGGAGACGUUGGCUCAGAUCUUAUCCGUCUGCACCGGGUUAGCUCUGGUGGUAUCAGCUACCACUGCAGCGGCUACUUCUGAGACCGGGGGUGGUCAUCAAAUCCCCGUAGCCCGCACUCCAGAGCAGGGUGCACAUGGUUGCAGACCCCAGAGGCACCACCAGUUCAGCCAGUUGCCCCUAUUCAGCCAGUUGUUCCAGUUCAGGGGGAUGGGGUAACAGUGAUGCCAGAUGACGAGCAACGUCGUCCAGAGAGGUUCAGCAGACUUUCACCUUCGACUUUUAGCGGUGUUCCGAGUGAGGAUGCCCAGGGGUUUCUUGAUAAGUGUCGACGCAUGUUCAAGACAACAGGGAUUUUGAAGACCAGUGGGGUAUCUUUUACCACUUUUCAGUUCUCAGGAGCGGCCUUCACCUGGUGGGAGGCAUAUGAGCGGCGUAGGCCAGCAGGGCGCCAGGGGGAUAUGUCUGUGACGCAGUAUGAGAUGAGAUUUGAUGAGUUAGCUCGUUAUGCUCUGUGGAUGGUCCAGACGGAUCAGGAGAGGAUUAGACGAUUUGUGGACGGGAUAGGCCAAUAGGGUCGGAACUGUUAUCUUGGCAGGUGUUCUCCACUAUCUUUUUGGAGAAGUGGGUGCCUAGGUCACAGAGAGAGGAGUUACGUGGGCAGUUUGAGUUGCUUUGCCAGGGGGAUAUGUCUGUGACGCAGUAUGAGAUGACAUUUUCCGAGUUAGCUCGUUAUGCUCCAUGGAUGGUCUAGACGAAUCAGGAGAGGAUUAGACGAGUUGUGGACGGGCUCAUUUAUCCCAUUUGUAUUCUGAUAACUCGAGAGAGGGUCCUGAGUCAUACCUUUGAGGAGGUGGUGGAUAUAGCCCGCGAUAUUGAGAUGACUCGCCAUUUUGAGCGAGAGGAGAGGGAGGCCAAGAGGCCUCGAGGUUCGGGCAGUUAUGGUGGCACUUCAUCUAGGGGCCAGUUUCAUCAGGGUAGAGGUCAUUCUUUUAGACCUCCUCAGUCAGGCCGCCCAGAGUACAGCGGAGCUUCUUUCGAUCGUGGCCGUCAGGGUCACCAGCAGGGCCUGUCUUCACUUAGUGCCAUCCCAGCUCAGAGUUCUGCACCUACUUCGUCAGCCUAGGGUUCAUCUGCGGCGAGGGGUUCCCUUCAGUCCGCUUCUCCAGUUUCAGUCGGAUGUUAUGAGUGUGGGGAGUUUGGUCAUGUGAAGAGACAUUGUCCUCGACUUCGUGGUGGUAGUUUUCAGCAGAAGGAUCAUCCCUCCUCCUCUUCUCCAUCUGUUUCAGCACCACCCAUGUCUAGUAGGGAUGGGGGUCAGUCAUAUAGAGGCCGUCCCAGGAGGGAUGAGCGAUACAGCAGAGGGAUCAACCCUUCUCUUCUUCUCCAUCUGUUUCAGCACCACCCCGGUCUAGUAGGGGUGGGGGUCAGUCAUCUAGAAGCCGCCCCAGGAGGGAUGAGCGAUCGAGCGGUGGUCAGGCCCAUUUCUAUGCACUCCCAGAUAGGAGAGAUGCCGUUGCUUCAGAUGCAGUGAUCACAGGUAUUAUCUCAGUUUGCCACAAGGAUGCUUCUGUUUUGUUUGAUCCCGGGUCUACAUAUUCUUAUGUAUCUGCUUACUUUGCUCAUCAUUUAGGGAAUACCCGAGGGUGUCUAGCAUUGCCAGUGCAUGUAUCUACCCCGGUGUGUGAUACUAUUACCGCGUGUAUCGGUCCUGGCUUACUUUGCUCAUCAUUUGGGGACUACCCGUGGGUGUCUAGCAUUGCCUGUGCAUGUAUCUACCCCGGUGGGUGACACUAUUAUUGUGGACCACGUGUAUCGGUCCUGUCUUGUUACUAUUGAGGGUCUAAAGACCCGAGCAGACUUGCUGCUUUUGAGCAUGGUUGAUUUUGAUGUGAUUCUGGGCAUGGAUUGGUUAUCACCAUGCCAUGCUAUUCUGGACUAUCACGCCAAGACAUUCACGUUGGCUAUGUCGGGUAUUCUGAGGGUUAUGUGGUGUGGUUCGACUGAUUACGUACCCAGCAGGGUAAUCUCUUUCUUAAAGGCCCAUCGGAUGGUUGGCAGUUGUAAGGGAUGUUGGAGAUGAGACUCCUAGUCUUGAUUCGGUUCCCGUGGUGAGGGAGUUUCCUGAUGUAUUUCCAGCAGANNNNNNNNNNNNNNNNNNNNNNNNNNNNNNNNNNNNNNNNNNNNNNNNNNNNNNNNNNNNNNNNNNNNNNNNNNNNNNNNNNNNNNNNNNNNNNNNNNNNNNNNNNNNNNNNNNNNNNNNNNNNNNNNNNNCAAACAGUUAAACAAAGUGAUAGUGAAGAACAAGUAUCCAUUACCCCGUAUUGAGGAUUUGUUUGACCAGCUUCAGGGAGCCAAGGUAUUCUCUAAGAUUGAUCUCCAUUCAGGCAUUCAUCAGAUGAAGAUUAGAGAUUCUGACAUUAUGAAGACAACUUUCAGGACGAGAUAUGGGCAUUAUGAAUUUCUGGUUAUGUCAUUGGGAUGACUAAUGCCCCAGCAGUAUUCAUGCACUUGAUGAACAGUGUAUUUCGGCCGUAUCUGGAUUCUUUUGUGAUCGUGUUUAUUGAUGAUAUUCUUGUGUACUCGCGCAGCCAAGAGGAGCACGCGAAUCAUUUAAGGGUGGUAUUGCAGAGAUUGAGAGAGGAGAAGUUGUAUGCAAAGCUCUCCAAGUGUGAGUUCUGGCUCAGUUCCGUAGCCUUUCUGGGGCACGUGGUGUCCAGUGAUGGUAUUCAGGUUGAUCCAAAGAAGAUCGAGGCGGUGCAGAGUUGUCCCAGACCGUCCUCAGCUUCUGAGAUUCGGAGUUUCCUCGGUUUGGCAGGUUAUUAUCGCAGAUUUGUUCAGGGUUUUUCAUCUAUUGAUUCGCCUUUGACGAAGUUGACGCAGAAGAAUGCCCCAUUUGUGUGGUCUGAUGAGUGCGAUGAGAGCUUCCAAAAGCUCAAGUCAUUGUUGACUACGUCUCUAGUGUUAGUAUUGCCAGCGGCUUCAGGUUCUUAUACGGUAUAUUACGAUGCUUCGAGGAUUGGUAUUUGAUGUGUUCUGAUGCAGGAGGGUAGAGUGAUUGCAUAUGCUUCUUGGCAAUUGAAGCCCCAUGAGAAAAACUACCUUGUUCAUGAUUUGGAGUUGGCUGCUAUAGUUCAUGCCUUGAAGAUUUGGAGGCACUAUCUAUAGUAGGAGGGUAGAGUGGUUGCAUAUGCUUCCCGGCAGUUGAAGCCCCAUGAGAAAAACUGUCACGUUCAUGAUUUAGCGUUGGCUGCUAUAGUUCAUGCCUUGAAGAUAUGGAGGCACUAUCUAUAUGGGGUAUCUUGUGAGGUGUAGACGGAUCAUCGCAACCUUCAGCACUUGUUCAAGCAGAAAGAUCUGAAUUUGAUGCUGCAAAGAUGGCUUGAGUUACUCAAGGACUAUGAUAUUACCAUAUUGUAUCAUUCGGGGAAGGCCAAUAUGGUGGCCGAUGCUUUCAGCCGGAAGGCGGUAUGGGUAGCUUGGCGUACAUUCCAGUUAGGGAGAGGCCCCUUGCAGUUGAUGUUCAGGCCUUGGCUAAUCGUAUGGUGAGAUUGGAUAUUUCAGAGCCCAGCCGGGUGUUGGCUUGUGUGGUUUCCCUGUCUUCUUUAUAUGAUCGCAUCAGAGAGAGCCAGUUUGAUGACCCGCAUUUGCUUGUCCUGAAGGAUAGGGUCCAGCAAGAUGAUGCCAGAGAUGUGACUACUGGUAGUGAUGGUCUGUUGCGGAUGCAGGGCCGGAUUUGCAUGCCCAAUGUAGAUGAGCUCCGAGAGUUGAUAUUAAAGGAGGCCCUAUUCUAUUCAUCUGGAUGCCGCGAAGAUGUACCAGGAACUGAGGCAGCAUUAUUGGUGGAGGAGAAUGAAAAAGGGGACAUUCGUGAGUUCUGUAGCUAGGUGUCUACAUUGUCAGCAGGUCAAAUAUGAGUAUCAGAGACCCAGUGGUGUACUUCAGCAGAUGGAUAUUCCAGAGUGGAAAUGGGAGAAAAUUACAAUGGACUUUGUGAGUGGACUCCCUCGUACCUCGAGGAACUUCGAUUCUAUUUGGGUGAUUGUGGAUAGACUGACCAAGUCUGCGCAUUUCCUUUCGGUGUGUACCACCUACUCUUCAGAGCGGUUGGCAGAGAUUUUCAUCUGUAAGAUUGUGCGGUUGCAUGGGGUCCCAGUUUCUAUUGUCUCAGAUAGGGGUACUCAUUUUUCUUCUCAGUUUUGGAAGACCUUUCAUAGGGAGUUGGGCACUCAGAUUUAGAUGAGAACGACUUUUCAUCCUCAGACGGACGGACAGUUCGAGCUUACCAAUUUAAGAUAUUGGAGGACAUGUUGCAUGCUUGUGUUAUUGAUUUCGGAGGUUCUUAGGCUGAGUUCUUGCCGCUUGCGGAGUUUGCUUAUAAUAAUAUUUAUCAGUCCAACAUUUAGAUGGUGCCGUAUGAGGCUUUAUAUGGGAGACGACGUAGAUCCUCAGUUGGUUGGUUUGAGCCCGGCGAGGCUAGACUAUUGGGGACAGAGUUAGUCUAGGAUGCCUUAGAGAAAGUGAAAGUUAUCCAAGAGAGACUUUGUACAACUCAGUCGCGUCAGAAGAGUUAUGCAGAACGAAUUGUUCGGGAUGUAUCUUAUACGGUGGGCGAGAAGGUUCUGUUGAAGGUCUCGCCUAUGAAAGGCGUGAUGAGCUUUGGAAAGAAAGGGAAGCUGAGUCCGCGGUUUAUUGGACCUUUUGAGAUUCUCAGGAGGAUGGGGGAGGUGGACUAUAUACUUGCUUUGCCACCCAGUUUAUCGGGGGUUCACCCGGUGUUUCAUGUUUCUAUGCUCAAAAAGUAUGUUGGGGACCCGUCUCAUGUAUUGGACUUCAGCACAAUCCAGCUGGAUGAGGACUUGACCUAUGAUGUGGAGCCAGAGGCUAUUCGAAAGUUGAGAUCAAAAGACAUAGCUUCGGUGAAUGUGCAAUGGAGAGGUCGGCCCGCGAAGGAGGCCACUUGGGAGACCGAGCAGGAGAUGCGGAGUGGAUAUCCUCAUCUAUUUGAGGCUCCAGGUAUGUUUCUUGACCCGCUCGAGGACGAGCGUUUGUUUUAGUUGGGGAGGAUGUGACGACCCGACCCGACCCGUUUUCUUUUGUAUUUCAGCCCUUUUAUCCCCAUAAUAUGCUUCCCCGUAUGUUGAUAUAUGUGUUUGGUGAGUUUGAGACGUGUUGGAUUAAAUUUGGUUAGAAAUGAGACCAAUAGCCCCUUUAAGGAAAGCCUAAGUUGGAAAAGUCAACCGGACGUUGGCUUGUGAGUUGGAGGGCUCGGAAUGGAUUUCCGAUGAUUCGACUAGUUUCGGAUGGUGAUUUAUGACUUGGGAGCGAAAUCAGAGUUUAAUUUGGAGGUCUGGUGUAGAAUUAGGCUUGAAUUGGCUAAGUUCGAAUUUUGGCAAAUUCCGGUUGAUAGGUGGGAUUUUGAUCCGGGGUCGGAAUGGAAUUCCGAGAUUGCAGUAGCUUUGAUAGGUAAUUUUGGAUAUGUCUGCAAAUUUUCAGGUCAUUCGGACAUCGUUUGGUUGGGUUUUGGGUUGAAUGCGAAUUUAGAAAAGUUCUAGUUUGACUUAGGCUUUAAUUUGAGGAAUUUGAUGAUUUUUGACGUUAACGUUGGUUUUUUUAUGGCCCAAGCAAGUUUGCAUGAAGUAUUAAGUCGUGUUAGUGCUUUUGGCUGAGGUCCCGGGGGCCUCGGGGUGAUUUCGGAUGGUUAACGGAAGGAUUUUUGGUUUUGAAAGAUGGAAGAUUUUCAGCUAUUGGUGUUGCAGACCACAAAGCAUCGCGUUCGCGUGGGGGUGGACGCGCACGCGUAGAAGGAAUCUGGGAGCCUGGGAUUCUUGCCUUCGCGUUCGCGAAGGGGAGACUUUGAUCACGUAGUAGAGGAGUUGUUCUUGAUCGCGUUCUCGUGAUAAGUUGACGCGUUCGCGUAAGCCAGGGGGUGUGGUCCAUCGCAUUCGCGUCGAGACGGCCGCGUUCGCGUAUGAGGUCCUGGGAGCGUGGUCAGGUAAAGCAUCGCGUUCGCGUGGCCAGGGUCGCGAACGCGGUGAAGGAGUUUUCUGGGCAGUAAGGUUUUUUUAUAAACAUUUCAUCCGCUAGCUAUUUCAAAAUCUUUCCUUGAGAGCUCAUUGGCGGAUUUUGAAGGGGAUUUUAACGGAAAGUGAUUGAAGGUAAGUCUCAUGGUCUUAAUACGUCAUUUUAUUGAAGAAUAAACCAUUAAUUCUCUUAAAUUGGGUGUAAAUGUUGAUAAACUAGGGCGUGAAAUUUCAAAUGAAAAUUGGGGAUUUGAAUGAGCAAUAUGACUCCGAUUUUGAUGAAUUUUAUAUGUAUGGAUUCGUGGCGAGACGAGAAUUCUGAAAAUGUAAGUUUCGUAAUUUUUCAAGAAGCGGGCUCGGGGCUCGGGUUUUGCCAACUUCGUGUUUUUGGGUGUAUUUCGAGUUAUUUCGAUUGNNNNNNNNNNNNNNNNNNNNNNNNNNNNNNNNNNNNNNNNNNNNNNNNNNNNNNNNNNNNNNNNUUGGGUGUAUUUCGAGUUAUUUCGAUUGGGUUAUGUUCCAUUAGCCUAUUGUGAUGUAUUCCUAUUGGUUUUGAUCAGAUUUGGUAUCCGCGGAGGUCGAUUCUCGAGGGAAAGGCAUUGCGAGCUAGUUUGCGACCGACUUGAGGUGAGUAAUGGGUGUAGAUGAUGACCUGAGGGUUUGAAACCCCGGUAUAUCACAUUGUGACGCUAUUAUGAGUCUAGACACGCACUCCAUGGCUAGUGCGGGGUCGUAUAAGUUGGAAAUUGUGACUCGAUCUAAUCCGUGGGAUGUAUUUCACUAUGUUGGCGAUUGCUUCGCGUAUUAUAUUGAUGAUAUUUGGGCUUGAUGCCAUGUUUGGGAUAUUGUACUAUGUUGGCGAUUGCUUCGCAUACUAUAUUGAUGAUAUUUGAGCUUGAUGCCAUGUUUGAGGCCUUGUGCCGACUUGCAGGAUCCUUCAGGGAUCGUUAUCUCAGAAUUUUCAUGAUUUGCAUAUUAUUUGAAAUCAGUCCAGGUUUAAAUACUAUUUUUCAAAUUAAGCCAUAUUUAUACGUUUUGAAAACUCAAAUGAUUUUAAAUGAUAUUUCGGGCUGACGAGUACUAUCUCGCUAUUUUUGUAAUGUUUAUUAUUUUAAUGGAAACGGUGGUAACUAAGGACACCGUGUAUUUUAAAUGGAAACGGUGGUAACUAAGGACACCGUGUAAUUUAAUUGAAAACGGUAGUAACUAAGGACAACGCGUAUUGUAAUGAAAACGGUGGUAAAAAAGGGCAUCGUGUAUUGUGAUGGAAACAGUGGUACUUAUUGGCAUUGUAUGAUAUGGCGCUUGGGCUGUAGGAGCCCCUCUGGAGUCUGAACCCCCAUAGUGAGUGCGGGUACCCAUAUGGAUCGGGCUGCACGUUCCUCAGCGUUCAUGCAGUGCAUUGCAUCUCAUGCAUUUAUUUACUGUUGCUUAUUCUGUAUAUCUCUGAUAUUGGUACUAUAUAGAACUGCUAGAUAGCUUCAUUUUGUGUUAUUUCGUGUUUUCUUUUCUUCGGGUUUUUAUACAUGCUUAUUACUUGCUGAGUUGGUAGACUCACCCCAUACUCCUUGCACCUUGUGUGAAGAUUUAGGUGCUCCAGAGGCCUAGUGCUGCAGCUGUUGAUUUCCGGAGUUGUUCAGAGUAUUGAGGUAGCUGCCCAGCGUCCGCAGGACCACCUACUCUGUCUCUAUCAGUUGUUUCUUUUGCUAUUCUGUCAGACAUUUGUAUUACUUCCGUUCAGACCUGUAUCUUAUUUUAUUAGAGACUGUACUCUUGACUUCUUGGUCUUUCCGGAGAAUUAUUGUUCUUGCUCAGCUAUGUUUUCAUUGCUAUUGUCUAUCCAUGGUUGGGAGUUUCAUAUUAAAUUCGCUGUGUUAUCUUAAAUUGCUUCCUUUUGGCUGGAAUGCCGUUCUUGGUUGUGGUUUGGUCGGGCUUGCCCAGCCUCGCGGCAGGGCGCCAUCACGACCGGCUUUGAAAUCGUGACAACUAUCAUCGAAGGAUAUAGAACUCGAACCCCCAAAUUCUGCAAUCAGUAGUAACUAAUAAGAACAUAUAUUAUAAUGAGACGCAGAACCUUACGUUUAAAAAGCACUCAGAUACAUAUUGGAAAAAGAGAAAUGACAUGC
RNAcentral lists this long non-coding RNA (12168 nucleotides) under Nicotiana benthamiana. Its description in RNAcentral is "long non-coding RNA (NBEN_LNC014064)". Lineage: Eukaryota; Viridiplantae; Streptophyta; Magnoliopsida; Solanales; Solanaceae. The record is from RNAcentral.